GACGAACGCUGGCGGCGUGCUUAACACAUGCAAGUCGAACGGAAAGGCCCUGCUUUUGUGGGGUGCUCGAGUGGCGAACGGGUGAGUAACACGUGAGUAACCUGCCCUUGACUUUGGGAUAACUUCAGGAAACUGGGGCUAAUACCGGAUAGGAGCUCCUGCUGCAUGGUGGGGGUUGGAAAGUUUCGGCGGUUGGGGAUGGACUCGCGGCUUAUCAGCUUGUUGGUGGGGUAGUGGCUUACCAAGGCUUUGACGGGUAGCCGGCCUGAGAGGGUGACCGGCCACAUUGGGACUGAGAUACGGCCCAGACUCCUACGGGAGGCAGCAGUAGGGAAUAUUGCACAAUGGGCGGAAGCCUGAUGCAGCAACGCCGCGUGCGGGAUGACGGCCUUCGGGUUGUAAACCGCUUUCGCCUGUGACGAAGCGUGAGUGACGGUAAUGGGUAAAGAAGCACCGGCUAACUACG
Molecule: ribosomal RNA, 466 nt
Filed under: uncultured bacterium
Lineage: Bacteria
Description: partial 16S ribosomal RNA
Rfam family: Bacterial small subunit ribosomal RNA
Source: RNAcentral